Small nuclear RNA from Leptonychotes weddellii (Weddell seal), 104 nucleotides. NCBI's taxonomy places the organism in Eukaryota, Metazoa, Chordata, Mammalia, Carnivora, Phocidae. The record is from RefSeq and is a predicted model, not a curated record.
GUGCUCGCUUCGGCAGCACAUAUACUAAAAUUGGAAUGAUACAGAGAUUAGCACUGCCCCUGCUCAAGGAUGACACACAAAUUUGUGAAGCGUUCUAUAUUAAA